RNAcentral lists this ribosomal RNA (349 nucleotides) under uncultured bacterium. RNAcentral describes it as "bacterial SSU rRNA". It matches the Rfam family "Bacterial small subunit ribosomal RNA", at positions 917 to 1267 of the family's 1533-position model. The record is from RNAcentral.
GGGCCCGCACAAGCGGUGGAGCAUGUGGUUUAAUUCGAUGAUACGCGAGGAACCUUACCAGGGCUUAAAUGUAAGUUGCAUAGAUCAGUAGAUGGUCUUUUCUUCGGACUACUUACAAGGUUGCUGCAUGGUUGUCGUCAGCUCGUGCCGUGAGGUGUCAGGUUAAGUCCUAUAACGAGCGCAACCCCUGUCGUUAGUUACCAGCAAGUAAUGUUGGGAACUCUAGCGAAACUGCCGGUGCAAACCGUGAGGAAGGUGGGGAUGACGUCAAAUCAUCACGGCCCUUACGUUCUGGCUACACACGUGCUACAAUGGUCGGUACAGAAAGCAGCCACUAUGCGAAUAGGAG